This 427-nucleotide ribosomal RNA is filed under the name uncultured bacterium. RNAcentral describes it as "partial 16S ribosomal RNA". It matches the Rfam family "Bacterial small subunit ribosomal RNA", at positions 355 to 774 of the family's 1533-position model. The record is from RNAcentral.
UGGGGAAUAUUGCACAAUGGGCGCAAGCCUGAUGCAGCCAUGCCGCGUGUGUGAAGAAGGCCUUCGGGUUGUAAAGCACUUUCAGCGAGGAGGAAGGGUAGUGUGUUAAUAGCACAUUGCAUUGACGUUACUCGCAGAAGAAGCACCGGCUAACUCCGUGCCAGCAGCCGCGGUAAUAAGGAGGGCGCAAGCGUUAAUAGGAAGUACUGGGCGUAAAGCGCACGCAGGCGGUUUGUUAAGUCAGAUGUGAAAUCCCCGCGCUUAACGUGGGAACUGCAUUUGAAACUGGCAAGCUAGAGUCUUGUAGAGGGGGGUAGAAUUCCAGGUGUAGCGGUGAAAUGCGUAGAGAUCUGGAGGAAUACCGGUGGCGAAGGCGGCCCCCUGGACAAAGACUGACGCUCAGGUGCGAAAGCGUGGGGAGCAAACA